RNAcentral lists this ribosomal RNA (760 nucleotides) under bacterium. RNAcentral describes it as "bacterial SSU rRNA". It matches the Rfam family "Bacterial small subunit ribosomal RNA", at positions 81 to 853 of the family's 1533-position model. The record is from RNAcentral.
UUCGGUGGGGAUUAGUGGCGAACGGGUGAGUAACACGUGGGCAAUCUGCCCUGCACUCUGGGACAAGCCCUGGAAACGGGGUCUAAUACCGGAUACGACCAUCUUGGGCAUCCUUGAUGGUGGAAAGCUCCGGCGGUGCAGGAUGAGCCCGCGGCCUAUCAGCUUGUUGGUGAGGUAAUGGCUCACCAAGGCGACGACGGGUAGCCGGCCUGAGAGGGCGACCGGCCACACUGGGACUGAGACACGGCCCAGACUCCUACGGGAGGCAGCAGUGGGGAAUAUUGCACAAUGGGCGAAAGCCUGAUGCAGCGACGCCGCGUGAGGGAUGACGGCCUUCGGGUUGUAAACCUCUUUCAGCAGGGAAGAAGCGAAAGUGACGGUACCUGCAGAAGAAGCGCCGGCUAACUACGUGCCAGCAGCCGCGGUAAUACGUAGGGCGCAAGCGUUGUCCGGAAUUAUUGGGCGUAAAGAGCUCGUAGGCGGCUUGUCACGUCGGUUGUGAAAGCCCGGGGCUUAACCCCGGGUCUGCAGUCGAUACGGGCAGGCUAGAGUUCGGUAGGGGAGAUCGGAAUUCCUGGUGUAGCGGUGAAAUGCGCAGAUAUCAGGAGGAACACCGGUGGCGAAGGCGGAUCUCUGGGCCGAUACUGACGCUGAGGAGCGAAAGCGUGGGGAGCGAACAGGAUUAGAUACCCUGGUAGUCCACGCCGUAAACGGUGGGCACUAGGUGUGGGCAACAUUCCACGUUGUCCGUGCCGCAGCU